GAUGAACGCUGGCGGCGUGCCUAACACAUGCAAGUCGAACGGAGAUUUAACGCUGACGAGACUUCGGUCAAAUCUUGUUAAAUCUUAGUGGCGGACGGGUGAGUAACGCGUGGGCAACCUGCCUCAUACUGGGGGAUAGCAGUUGGAAACGACUGAUAAUACCGCAUAAGCGCACGAGAUCGCAUGAUCUAGUGUGAAAAACUCCGGUGGUAUGAGAUGGGCCCGCGUCAGAUUAGCUAGUUGGUAAGGUAACGGCUUACCAAGGCGACGAUCUGUAGCCGGACUGAGAGGUCGGACGGCCACAUUGGGACUGAGACACGGCCCAAACUCCUACGGGAGGCAGCUAGUGGGGGAUAUUGCACAAUGGAGGAAACUCUGAUGCAGCGACGCCGCGUGAGUGAAGAAGUAUUUCGGUAUGUAAAGCUCUAUCAGCAGGGAAGAAAGGCUCGUAAGAGAGAUGACG
Molecule: ribosomal RNA, 463 nt
Filed under: bacterium NC2013
Lineage: Bacteria
Description: bacterial SSU rRNA
Rfam family: Bacterial small subunit ribosomal RNA
Source: RNAcentral